AAAGAUUGAUAUAUUGAUUCUCCUUGACUUAUUGAAUGAAGAUUACAUAGUAUGUAUAUAAGAUGUUAGUUGUAUAAUAAGCUAAACUAGGUCUAACAGAGUAUAAUAGCUUGCAUACAAGUAACAACUUUUUUAAAUCAAGAACAAUACAGAUGUCAUUAGCUGUAAUUAAUCUCUUCUAACUAUUAUCAACUAAAUUUGGAGUCUUCUCUUCAUUUGAAUUAAGUUCAUGUAAAGAGGAAAAAGUACCUAAAGAACUUUAUUCGAUGUAUUCCCAUCGAUAAUUUUAUAUUGAUGAAAGUGAUAAGGAAAAUGUUACAUGAACACCAUUUAAUCAUACACCUUAUUGUACACCCCAUGUAUUAAGGACAUUUUGGUAAAUUCAUCUCACAAACAUACUUUCUCUUUCAUCUCCUCUCCCUUUUCCUUGCCACAUGUCAGGAUUUUGUGUGGGUGUAAGAGGUGUAUUGCCACAUGGGGGUGUACAUGUAUCACCACUCGGAAAUAAUGAGUAUUCACACUAGCAUUAUUACCUAAAGUACUCUAUCUAAGAAGAGAUGAACGGUUGACCCGUCAGUGAUGUAUUUCAUUUCCCAACCAUCAUAUGAGGUCUUGAAUACUGAUAGGAUAUUAGAAUAAGGAGCACUAAUAUGGUGACUCAGCUAGUUCUAGAAGUUGUUAUGAGUCAUCUUAGUCUAUAAGGAUUUAGAAGACAUAUUGUUAGGGGAUAAUAUUGAGUAUGUUAGGUGCACUUAUCUUAUUAUGAGUAUGCACAAGUCUAUAUAAGCAUUGUAUGCCUUAUUAUGAGAAUCAAUGAAAAAUAUAAUGAAUUUCUUUUCUUUUAUUUCUAGUUUCUCUCUCUAAUUUCUGGAGUGUGAUCUCUACUCGAAUUGGGUCGUAUCAUCUGUAUCCUUUUUCUUAAUUUUUUGGAAGUUCAUGGUAAGAUUACUUCCAACUUCUAUAUUCCCAUUUCUAGGAAAACUAUUUCCCAUUUAUUUAUAGUACUAUCUAAAAGAUUGAGCUCUCCUAAUUUGUCUUCUCUACUUUGCAUGCUUGCUUAGGUAUAUGAAAUUGGUUUAAAUGUGUCAUUGGUCCCUGCAUUUUCAUCAGAUUUUGGCAUUGGUCCCUGCACUUUUUUUUGUUUGGCAUUGGUCCCUGCACUUUGUAAAAAUAUUGGUAUUGGUCCCUCUGUUAACUUUCUGUUAAAAAAAAAAACACCAAACCAACGGAGUGCCACGUGGCCCAAUCAUUUCUCGCCACGUGGCACCAAUAUCAAUAUUUUUACAAAGUGCAGGGACCAAUACCAAUAUUUUUACAAAGUGCAGGGACCAAUACCAAUAGUUUUGUGUUUUUUUUUUUACAGAAAGUUAAUAGAGGGACCAAUACCAAUAUUUUUACAAAGUGCAGGGACCAAUUCCAAAAAAAAAAAAAUGUAGGGACCAAUGCCAAAAUCUGAUGAAAGUGCAAGGACUAAAGGCAUAUUUAACCCUAUGAAAUUUAGAGGCACAAGUUGUAGAAUAUUUUCCCUACAACUCGAGGUGAUCAAGUGUUGUUCUUCCGCAAUAAUAAUAACAGCAUCUAAUUCUCCACUGUAAAAAGAAAUGCUUCUACUUCUUUGUUAUAAAAUAAAUAAAUUCAUAGCAUCUAAUUCUAUUUUUUAUUUCUUUACUAAAAAAACUAUAUUGUAUCAUUGAAAUUACUAGAGUAUAUUGAUACAACACAAAUUCUAAGUAGCUUAAAAUAGACUAAUGUACGAACUACUUCACAACACCUAGGUUGAUAGUAUAAAACCGCAAAAUACAUGCAUGCAUGUAAGAUGAUAUUUGCCUCGUUUGACUACCAAGUUGUUGUUGACUUGAGUAUCAAGAUGUUACUAAACAUAAAAGAUACAUACUAAAAAUAAAAGAUAUAUACAUAUUUUAAUACAUCCCCAUAGUCGAAAGUGAAGGUUGUCGGAUGUUAAGACAAUGUCGAAAGUCAUCAAAGAGUUGUCUUGGAAGGCCCUUUGUGAAGAUAUCAGCUAUUCGGUAUCGAGAAUGAACAUGCAACACACUAACUUCACCAAGAGUAUCUUUCUCAUGUACAAAAUGAAUAUCCAUCUCAAUAAGCUCAAGUGUGUUUAUGUUGAACGAGAUUAAUUACUUGAGAUAUACACCACUUUUGUUGAGACAUGUUAGUAUUGCUCCAAAAGAAGAUUCCUAAGCCAACACGAUUCAGAUACUACACUAGUGACUCCACAAUGUUCUGCUUCAACACUGAAUUAAGACAAUGUAGGUUGUCGUUUGGCAUAGCAUGAAGAGAUAAGGUUGUCCCCAAGAUAUACACAAUAGCCAUAAUGGAUGAAGACAGACAUAUGUCGUGUUUCUGGAUCAUGCAUAAACAAUCAUACUUGCUGCAUGACGAAAGAGAUAUCGUGUCUUGUGAAAAUCAAGUAAAAUGCAGGGCACUAACAGGACUACGAUAUUCAUUUGGAUCAUGAUAUGGAUGUAUGUUGUGCCAGAAGCGCCACAAUCAUAUUUUAUUAUUUUAUUCAUAAUAUAUUACUGAGAGAAGCCUUGAAAUUGCAGCGUUACAUGUAGAUUACAAAAGGAUAUACUACAUAUAAAAAACCUUGAAUGUGACAUACAUAUAAUACUUGGUACAAAAAAGCGUGCUUUGAGUUAAAUACCCUCCAAUUUAAAGAUCUGUUGAUUCAUAAAGAAAUUACCAUUAUUGUUGCCGGUAAUUACACCUUCAUUGGAAACAACAUUUUCUCCAAUUUAAAGAUGGUUUCUUUCUUCAUCAUUAUUCUCUUUCUUAGAACAGAUUAUACAAGUGAGAGGAUUCAUAAACCCAAUACCUUAAGGUUUUAAGUAAAAAUGCGAUGUUAACCUCACUUAUGUUAUUACAAGAUGCCAUAUUUUAUUUGAAAGAGAGAGAAAAGUUAGACAUGAAGAGAUAAAGACAGAAAAAGAAAGCAUACAUAUGAAAGAUAUGAAGGAGAAUAUUAGAUGCCAUAUUUUUUUAUGAAUUGAACUGGAUACCCUCAUAUAAUUAUCUUGGUGAAGAAUAAGAAUCACACUUGCAAAUAUAUUUCUUAGGAGACAGUGCAAAUAUUUUAUACUCUAUAGUCUAUAGUUAAAAUUUUCCCUUAUAAAUCUAACCUUCCAAACCAGAGAGUCAAGGUAGAUAAAUUUCAAUUUGGGGAGAUUUAUUUAUUUUAUUUUUAUUGCGAAACAAUAUUUCAAGUGUUGGACAUAAUGGCUCUAGUGCAAAUUAACUGAAGAACAUAAUUUUUUUUUUUGUUUUGACAGGAAGAAUAAAAUAUAGUUUCGUUAGAGAAGAGCGUGGGAACGAAUGUAAGCAUCAAACUUGAACACGCAGUUUCAGUAGAGGGGAAGACAUAUACAGUGUCACACUACAUAGAUGGUAAAUCAGUUGGUAUACUCAGGUUAUGGAUAACAUAUCGCGAAGAUGGUCUCGUUAAGGACUUAGAUUUCAUUUUCUACGAACCCGCUAGAUCCAUAUUUACAUUCGUUAUAAAUAAAGCUGAAAACAAUCUUCUUAAUUACUAUCAUGUGUUACCCAUCAAUCAACUUUAUGAAACAAAUUUCAAUAAUGAAACUAGCAACCUUUGGGGAGGGAUUACGAAAACGGAUGUUGCAUACCGUGGUGUUGAAAAUGAGGGAAAUCUUCUUGUGGUGCAACAGAAGAGAAAGCCGGGAGUUGAAAAGCCUUGUGCAAUCAGAGUGGCACACUAUUAUGCUUAUAGUAAACAAUUCUGUUUUAGUCGACAAAAAAGUGAGGCUGGACUUUCAAUAACGGUAGAUAUUAGAGUGUUAAACAAUGAUUUGGAUGUUUCAAUGAAGGAUCCUUAUGAACACCCUUCUUUGGUAUUCCUUCAAAUGUUUGAACAAGUAUCUAGAACAUGGAUUUGGAAGUGGACGGCAUGGUCUCAUUGUGCUGCUCAAACUCAUAUGCAAAAGUUUGAAACUGAGAAUAAUGGUGAAGAAAUGGAAUGGUUUAGGCAAAUCAGAGGAAAUAGUAUUUCCAAUCAAGGUAUGACUAUAGGAAAUCAAAAUGGUAAUUUAGUUUAUCUUAAUAGUUUCAUAUUUAUAUGUUGAUGUUUGCCAACAACCUAGGAUGUCCAUAUUUAGUCUAUGCUUUUGUAAUGUUCAUGUUUGCCAACAACCUAGGAUGUCCAUAUUUAGUCUAUGCUUUUGUAAUAAUAUGCAAUUAUAAAUCUUCUAUAUGUAAUAUACUAUUAUAUUGAGAAUUUAUGCAACACACAAUAAUGUUAUAAACUAUUGAAUGUAUUGUGAGUGUAGCUUUACUUAUGCAAAAAAAAUUCUUAAUUUUAAAGGGUCUCAGUAAAAAAACUUGUUCUAGGCAUUUAAACAUGUUUGGUCGGGCCUAUCUUCAUUCGUCUCUAAUGUCGUAAAUGGAACAUGUGUCUUCUGUCAUCUCAUGUAUCUUGUUUUUAUUCAUGUCUCGCAUCUUAGACUAGUGGAUGUUUGUAAUGAUCCAAGAUAGUCCCAUUAGAUUAGCUUUAAGUCCAAGCUGUUAUAUUAGGUGAUGAGUCAUGCUCUCUAGCUAGAAGGAUCUAGAAAGAUCUUUUAUGAUGAGUCAUUGAUACUCCAUGCUAUAAAUAAGUGUGACUGGUCAUUGUAAUGAUUAUGGAAUGAAUGAAUGAAGAAUUUAGUUUUUAGAUUAGUCUUAGUUAUAGCUUAUUCUCUCUUUUAGUACAAUUUCUCUUCCAUUUAUGAACAGCCCAAAGGUUGUCCAUAACAAUGUUGAAGGAAGAUGAUAGUGUUAUGAGGUUAAAGAAAGAGAGGUGGUUUGAACCGAAUCAUGAAGGGAGAGUGAGAUUGUCGGGUUCGCUGGUGAGAGGGAGAUGGAUUGGGAUCCUGGUGAUGCACAUGAUGGAGAUUUAGAGAGUAUUUGAGCUUUUAGAGUGGUCGUAGAGAGAAAGAAGAUGAGAGGGUCUCAUAGUUUGAUUAUUGUUGAUUUCUACAAGAGAAAAUGUGAAAUAAGAUGUUUUUAGUGUAGUGUUAAUUUAAAAAUGUGUGUAGUUUAAUUUUUUACGAAGAAUUAUAUGGAACGUUCAAGAAUUGUAGAAAUUAAUUACACUCAAGAAAGAAAUGCCACUAGACGAAGACAUAACACUAACACUACAAGAAAAAAGGCUGUUUGCGAAUGUUAAAACGACGGAUUGCGACGGUUCCCUACGGGUGCUGAAAUUGGGGUCGCAGUUUGACAUUGCGACAGUUCUGGGAAAGGUCGUAACAACCAUCAGAGAGUAUUGUGAUGGUUCCUCCUAAGGGUCGCAAAGGAAAAGCUUUCAUUCCUUUUAAAAGGGACUUGCAACAGUCGCAAUUUUUAUUUUUAUUUUGUAUUGAGAAGGCCCGAAUUAAAUUUUUUUUCUUCUAGGUUUUUAUUGGAUACAAUCUGAAAUAAAAGAUAUUAAUCAAAUGGUUGUAGAUUUGUCAUGUUAAUAAUUUCUUUAUUAACAAUUUGGACCAUACAUUAGGUCUAUUGUGGAAGUUGUGGACAGAUAGUGAAAGUAAUAUGACACAAGAGUAAAAACAAAAUAAAAAACUUGCAAUAUAUUAUUUCAUUUUAUCUUAUUGAUUCUCUAAUCAGAAGUAUGUGGUAGAUCAGUAGAUGCCAUGAUUAACUUGUGCACAAUCUAGAUAGGGACGUAUAAAUUUGUGUAAUUAAUCUUUAUUUUAAUUUAUUUUUUGAAAUGCAAAGCAUUAAAGCAACUUCCACAUGAAGCCUAUAGUUAGCAAUUGCUUCCAUUGGGGAUAGGGAUGAGAAUAGGCUAGGCCAAGCAAGGCUUCGUAAGGCCUGAGCUUGACCUGCCAAUUUUUUUGAAGGUCUAAGUCUGGCAUGUGGCCUGUCAUAGACUUACUUUUUAGACCUGAGUUUGGAUUUCUGAAAGUCUGAUACGACAUGUUAUCCUGUUUAAAAGCCUAUUUCAUAUAAACAUAUUUCAAUUUGCAAUGUUAUCUAAGUGUAAAUAGACUAACAAACUAAGAUAUCAAUUAAAUUAAACUCUCUUUUGAUAAUUAACAUGAGUUUUUAAGAAAUUUGAUUAUAUAUUGUAUCAUAUUUCAGUUCUAGUUUAUACUAAUACAUUUAAAUAUGCAAAAAAUUAAUUUAUACUAAUAAGCUUAAAUUACUAAAAAAGUUAACACGUAUUUAUUUUAAUUCAAAGUAUAAAGUAUAAUAUAAUAAUAAAUAAUAUUAUUCAUAUUUACUUAAAUAGGUCGACCUAAUAGGCCUAAGAGGCUUUUUGAAUGGUCUGUGGCCUGAUCCAUUAAGCUAAAUAAGCUUUUAAAAAUGCUCAAGCCUUCUCUAUUUAAGAAAAAAGUCUGGCUUGGCCUGGUCAGGUCUGUCGUAGGCUAGGCCGUAGGCCCCUGUAAGCCAGCCUGACCUAUUCCCAUCCCAAUUUGGGGACAUAUUAUGAAUUCAAUUUAAGAGAGAAAGCUUGUAAUAAACAAGAAAGAUUGAUAUAUUGAUUCUCCUUGACUUAUUGAAUGAAGAUUACGUAGUAUAUAUAAGAUGUUAGUUGUAUAAUAAGCUAAACUAGGUCUAACAUAGUAUAAUAGCUUGCAAUACAAGUAACAGCUUUUUUAAAUCAAGAACAAUACAGAUGUCAUUAGCUGUAAUUAAUCUCCUCUAACUAUUAUCAACUAAAAUUUGGAGUCUUCUCUUCAUUUGAAUUAAGUUCAUGUAAAGAGGAAAAAGUACCUAAAGUACUUUAUUCGAUGUAUUCCCAUUGAUAAUUUUAUAUUCACGAUAGUGAUUAGUAUUCCCAUCGAUAAUUUUAUAUUCAUGAAAGUGGUAAUGAGUAUUCACACUAGCAUUAUUAUCUCCCCAAAAUACAUUUUGAUUGUUAUUUACAACAGCUACUCUGUUAUUUACACUCCCAGUGUCAGAAUCAUGCUCAUGAGUAGUCUCAAAACCCUUCCAAAUCCCUGUUCUAGCAACUUCUUUAAUCAUACGAAGCAAUGUUGAAGAAGGGUGAUGAACAGGACCCACCACUGAUAAAACUAAAACGUUAUUUGAUACUGAAAUAUCUACAACCAUUGAAAGUCCAAUAUCUAUUUUAUUUCGACUACGAUAAUCUUCCCUGGGAACAGCAUAAUAGUGUUUCACAGUAACUUUGUAAGGAUUCAUAUCUAUAUGCGUGCUAUUCUCUUCAACGACAAUAAGACCCCUACCUCCUCCAUGAAAGAAAAUAGACGUCUUUGUAACGAAUCCACGACUAUCAUGUUUCUCAGUUUGAAUCAUUGUAUUUGUAUCAGAAACUUGUCUUAUAGAUUCGAAGUCAAUUUUGUUGAGUAGAUCAUUUUCAGCUUUAUCUAUAAAGAAAAUGAUAAGUUCACUUCUGUACCUUCUAUCAAAAAAUUGGAGUCUUAAACCUUGAACCCUACCAUCUCUAUCAAAUUCUCUAUUUAAGAGGAGAUUAACAAAAGAGCUUUCAAUGAUGUAUUUCACUUGCCAACACUCCCUAUGUCCACUAGACUUUUCCUCUCUUCUAUUGAAAUUCAUGAUAAGAUUACUUCCAAAUUUGAUAUUCCCAUUACUAGGAAAACUAUUUCCCAUUUACAGAUCGUUGGGUACAACUAAAAAACGCCUACAUCGGUAAAACUAAGAAAUAAAAAAGUAUGCAUAAACAUUGUAGACAUCUCACCUUCUAUGUUUGAACUCUAACUAACAUUGUACACAGCCGCUCCAAAUGGAAAAUUCAGAAAGAAAGAUAGUACUAUCGAAUAAAUUGAGCUCUGGUACUUUUGUCUUCUUUGCUUCUUUGCUUGCCAAGGUAUGGGAAAUUUAUAGCGGGACAAGUUGUAGAAUAUAUUCCCUACAACUCGAGGUGAUCGAUCAAGU
RNAcentral lists this long non-coding RNA (7878 nucleotides) under Medicago truncatula (barrel medic). RNAcentral's name for it is "long non-coding RNA (MTRU_LNC004546)". The record is from RNAcentral. Lineage: Eukaryota; Viridiplantae; Streptophyta; Magnoliopsida; Fabales; Fabaceae.